UGCCAUGCUCGUGAUUCAAUUUGAUGAAAACAGUUCUUCUGGGAAGAGGAAAGCAGGUGUGCUCUUCUUUGAAGGUUUUUAGUUGCCUGAAGUUGUAGAAAGCUGCAAAGUAAUUGAAUGUUACCAUUAUUGUUGGAAAUGAAGGACAGCACCUUUAUGGUUGAUUUCAGACCUUCAGCCACUAACAGAAAAACACACAAUGUACACUCUGAAGACGUAAGAAGUGCGUCUCCUCAGUGCCCCAAACCCAACGAGUCAGAACAACCAGAAGGUACUGCGGUGGAGCAGACCGACUCGGGUCGAGGGAGCCCAACUGAGGGGAUGGCGGAGCUGGUCAUAACGCAGGAGAUGCUGGAGGAGGAGAAGCAGCUGAUGAAGGAAGGGGAGAAGAAGGAGCAGGAGAUGCUGGCAAAGGCCCGGGAGUCUUGGGAGAGAGAAUCAAAAGAGAUGCGCUACAAGCGGCUGCAGCACUUACUGGAGAAGAGUAACAUCUACUCCAAAUUCCUCCUCACAAAAAUGGAGCAACAGCAGCAAGAGGAAAAAAGACGAAAAGAAAAGCUUGAGAAGAAAGCGGCAGCUGUUCAAAACAAACAAAAGGGAAAGGAGGUGAAGAAAGGGGAUAAGGGGUCUGAGACAGUUGAGAGAAAGAAACGAGGCCGAGAGGAAGACUAUAAAAUUUCAGACAUCAUGACAAAGGAGGAUAUUUUGUCAAAGGCCAAAAAACCCAGGAUGGAAAUGGAGGAGGAGGAGAUCUCUCUGAGGAAGAAGCUGGAGGCCGAGGAUAUUGAGAAGAUCAGCGAUUCAAAUUCAGAUAUCAAGGGCCGCCUGUCCCAGACCGUGCGCCACAAUGCCCAGCACAUGCUUGACCCAGUGAGGAGCGUCAAUGGGCAGCCUGUGCCCUACCAGCAGCCAAAGAUCUUCACUGGUGGCAUCAUGAGGUGGUACCAAGUGGAGGGCAUGGAGUGGCUCCGGAUGCUGUGGGAGAAUGGGAUUAAUGGCAUCCUGGCUGACGAGAUGGGGCUGGGAAAGACGGUGCAGUGCAUCGCGACCGUCGCCUUGAUGGUGGAGAGGGGGGUCCCUGGCCCUUACUUGGUGGUGGGGCCUCUUUCCACCUUGCCCAACUGGGUCGCAGAGUUCAAGCGCUUCACCCCUGAGAUCACAGUUUUGCUUUACCAUGGGGAGCAGAAAGCAAGACGUGAGCUCAUUAAAAAGAUUCACCGGCACCAUGGCUCACUCCAGAUGCACCCUGUUGUUAUUACAUCUUAUGAAAUUGCUAUGAGAGACCGGAGGUUCCUACAGCACUGCUACUGGAAGUACCUUAUAGUUGACGAAGGGCACAGAAUCAAGAACAUGAACUGCCGUCUGGUUCAAGAGCUGAAAAUGUUUCACUCUGAGAACAAGCUGCUUCUGACUGGGACCCCGCUGCAGAACAACCUGGCAGAGCUCUGGUCUCUGCUCAACUUCCUGCUGCCCGAUGUCUUUGAUGACCUGAAAAGUUUUGAGUCCUGGUUUGAUAUAACAAGCUUUACUUCUGAUGUGGAGAAUAUUGUUGCCAAAGAACAAGAGCAGAAUGUUUUACAUAUGCUUCAUCAGAUCUUGACACCCUUUUUGCUGAGGAGGUUGAAGACAGAUGUUGCUCUGGAAGUGCCUCCGAAGAGAGAAGUGGUGGUCUACGCUCCCCUGACUUCCAAGCAGGAGUCAUUCUACACCGCCAUUGUUAACAAGACCAUAGCAAAGAUUCUGGGACAGGAGCAGGAGGCCCCCCCCGUGCAGCUCACUCCAUCCGGCAGGCCAAGGCGCAAGAGCACGCGUGCUGUGGACUACAGGGAAUUUAACGACAAAUCGAUUGAUGACCUGGAGAAGCUUAUAUUCAGAUUGAAGAAGGAGGAGGAGGAACAGAGCAGGCCUGUGCUUGAUGUGCAAAUGCCUUUGGAUGCAGAGAUCAACCUCAAGUUGCAAAAUGUCCUGAUGGUUCUGAAGAGAUGUUGUAAUCACCCAUACCUCAUAGAAUAUCCACUGGACCCUGCCACUCAGGAAUUUAAGAUUGAUGAGCAGCUGGUUUCAACAUCUGGCAAGUUUCUUGUACUGGAUCGAAUGCUCCCAGAACUGAAGAAACACGGUCACAAGGUGCUGGUUUUUAGUCAGAUGACUUCCAUUUUAGAUAUUCUCAUGGACUACUGUUAUCUCAGAGGUUUCAGAUACAGCCGUCUUGAUGGAUCGAUGUCCUACGCAGAUCGGGAGGAAAAUAUAAACAAAUUCAGCUCCGACUCUGAGGUCUUCCUGUUCUUGUUAAGCACACGUGCUGGUGGUUUGGGGAUUAACCUGACUGCUGCUGAUACAGUCAUCAUCUUUGACAGUGACUGGAAUCCCCAGUCUGACCUCCAGGCCCAGGAUAGGUGUCACCGCAUUGGACAGACCAAGCCUGUGGUUGUUUACCGCUUAGUAACUGCCAAUACCAUCGACCAGAAGAUAGUAGAGAGGGCAUCAGUCAAGAGGAAACUGGAGAAGAUGGUCAUUCAUAAAAACAAAUUUAAAGGAGGGAAGGCAGGGCUGAACCAGUCUAAAAGCUGUCUGGACCCACAGGAGCUCAUGGAACUGCUAAAAUCCAGAGACUAUGAGAGGGAAGUGAAAGGCACCAAUGGGAAGGUUAUCAGUGACAAAGACUUAAAAGUCCUGCUGGAUCGCAGCGACCUAUUAGAUGAGAUGAAAAGGUUGAAGCCAGAAAAGGAUGGGGUUUUCCGAGUGAUUGAGAAUGACAGAGAUUCUUCAGAAAUUUGCUUGAGAUGAGGUGAUUACAGAUGGACAUUGGAAAAAUCUUCAGUAGCCCUUCCUGUCUGGAAAGACUUUCCUUGGUUAUACUCUUACAAUGCCUUUCUGGAAUAGGUCUUUUAAAAACUGACUGGUAUAGGUUAUGUGCUUCAAUCAGCAGCAUGUCUUAGCUGUAGGCAAUUCUGUGAAGCCUCCAACAAGCAAAAUCUUAAUACCACACCAUUUUCAACCAGGUGGGUGUGUACGGCCCCAAAGUCAUUGCGCAGGAAGCUAAAGAAAAGCAUGGAGAAGAUUAAGGAUUUUGUGUUCAUUUCAGGCGGUUUAAUCUUUUGUUCAUUCCUGUACUGACAUUCUCUGAAGGAUAUGGCUCUGUCAUAAAAAAUGCAAAAUGUAAGCAUUGUGUACUGACAAAUUUCAGGAUUUAGAUCAUUUCUGAUUUACGUUUUUGUGAUAUACAUUUAAAGGGCUGUUUUUAUUUUGCUGUAAUGUUUAGUCUUUGAAUCUAGAAAUCUGAUAUAAAGAAAUUUAUACUGUUGAGCUCAACCUUGCACAUUUUAGAUUUUGCACUUGACAGAAGAAAGACCUGGAAGUUUCCUUUCUCCCUUUUGCAAAAAAAAAAUUUUUGACAACGAUGUUAGGAAUUUAGCGCCUGAUCUGUGCUUCUUCUUUAGAAUCUUUUCAUUUCUGAAAACUAAAUGAAAAUCAUCCAGUAUGCAUAUAUUUUUUCUAUUGCUUUUUCACCCUUUGUAUGGCUGAAGAAAUAAUAAGGGGAAAAUAAUUUUCUUAAUAAGGACAUCAUCAAAGUAGUGUCAAGGAAAAGAGUAUUUACUAAUUGGAAAGCUGAAUUUCUGAGUAGUUUUUUAUUUUUGAUCAAAAUUAUCAUUACCUUUUUAAUUAUCUAGUGAUACAAUUCUGAUUUCCAUCGUGUCUGAGUCAGGUGCACUGUGAUGUUUGGCUUCAGAGCACAUCUGUCACUUUUGCUUUUGGAAAAAUAUUUUUGAGUCUUAUCUUUUGCACUAGUGUACUGUUGAUGACUCAAAUUUCAAAAUCUGAGUUUUGGAAAUUUCAUAUUUUGUUCUGUAUUUGCUUAAAACAAGUUGAUUUCCUAAAUUUCAAAUUGGACGUGUUUUAAGUAUGAGGUGUUGCUGAGAGGCCUAGGUUUUAAACAUCUCACAACACAAAAUGUUAAACGAAUUUCUACAUAAAAAGAAAAGAGCUGUAGUUUAAAUUGGCAUUGUAUACAUUGAUUUUACUGCAAGUGAACACUUAUUUCACAAGAAAACAUACUAAGCUUGUUUUUAUGUAUGUAUUUUUUUACAUUUUCUGCACUAGCAAUACAUGUUUUUUUAUAUUUGUGAAUGUGGGAAAACCUGAAAUAUUUUGUAGAGUGUAAAUUUAACAAUCAUUUAGUGUAAUGAUCUUCAAAUAAAUGUACUGUAAUAAGAAGUUUUGUAAUAAUAAAUCUAUCUUUGAAGUACUUGUUUUUCUUGUUGGUAUUUUAACUUCAUGGAUGCAGCUGUUUCUUAUAUCUAAUUGUAACAUGUACCCUAAAAGCAGCUUUUUAAAUUAAAGAAGAAAUAUGGAACAUGGCAUCUAGACUUAAUGUCAUGUUUUGUUUCUUGCAUGAUCAAAAAUGCAAAGUAUUCAAAACUAACCAGAUAUGCACUUGAAUCUGGUGAAAAGGCAUUAUAGAUUUAAUUAGAAGGACACUCGUGAUCCAGGUGAACUUUGUACUCACUACUGACAACUAUUAAAUCCUUAGACUAUGAUGUGAAUUCAGUUCACAGAUGUAAUGCACUUCAUUAAAUGGUUUUAUAUGUGUAUCUGAACAGGCUUACUGGAACCAUAAUGGAAUGUAGAAACUGAAAAUUCCUCCAAUUUCAUAUAAAUGAGGGCUUUUUAAUUUUGACAAAACACCUGGAAAAACAUGUUUCUGAAAUGUGUAGCACAAGUGAAAGUGCUAAACCACUUAGUUUAUUUCAAAUGAAGGCAGGGUACAUCCACCUGCUCAGAAGUAUGUUAACAGCCUCUGUGGUGUAAUGAUUCAAGCAUGAGGGUCAGUAGGUUACUAACAGGUAAGGUGUACUUGAGUGCUACAGUAAAGCUAGGUUAUGUGAAAUCUAACAGGACUGCUUAGGAAAAGGAAAUGAGUGUUAUUCUGUUGGCUGAAUGUCCUCUGUCUUUCCAGUCACUGCAGUGCUGAUCUGCUAUGUACUUAAGUCCUGGCUGCAGGCCGAAGUCCUGAGCCAUUUUCUGAAGGCAAGUUCAGACGGAUCAGAUUCACUGAGAACUUGGUACCAAGAAUUCUUCUUAAACAGCUGGGUUCCACAUAGCAACAAAUGGCUUUGGACACUGAGAAACUAAUGUCUGGAGCAGAGAAGUGCACCAGUAGCAAAGUUCGGUGGAGCUGCUUGCUUCAUUAUUCAGGUCCCUCCAAGAACUGAGAAGCUGCUACGGAAACCCAGCCAGCUUUUUACCUACUGUACGUGAAGUUUAAACUCAUCAAGGACGUUUGGACAAUGGAUUGUUGAGUAUUACUUCAUUUAAUGACAUCAUAAUUCUCGAGAACUAUUAUUUCAAAUGCAUGUUUGAUGUAUAGUUCACAAUAGUAAAUGCACAUUUAGACAAAAUUUCCAGGUAUGCGCAGAGCCAUGUUCUGCGUUUCAGAACGAGGCAACAAAACACCCAUUGAUGUGAAAAGGUCCUGUUACAUUGU
This is a non-coding RNA of Lepisosteus oculatus (spotted gar), 5485 nucleotides long. Lineage: Eukaryota; Metazoa; Chordata; Actinopteri; Semionotiformes; Lepisosteidae. The record is from RefSeq and is a predicted model, not a curated record.